Molecule: unclassified non-coding RNA, 148 nt
Organism: Pongo abelii (Sumatran orangutan)
Lineage: Eukaryota; Metazoa; Chordata; Mammalia; Primates; Hominidae
Rfam family: Metazoan signal recognition particle RNA
About the family: The signal recognition particle (SRP) is a universally conserved ribonucleoprotein. It is involved in the co-translational targeting of proteins to membranes. The eukaryotic SRP consists of a 300-nucleotide 7S RNA and six proteins: SRPs 72, 68, 54, 19, 14, and 9.
Source: Ensembl
GCCAGGCAUGGUGGUGCAUGCUUAUAGUUCCAGCUACUCAGAAGGCUGAGGCAGGAGGACUGCUUGAGCCCAGGAAUUCAAGGCUGCAGUGAGUUAUGAUUGAACCACUGCACUCCAGCCUGGGUGACAGAGUGAGACCCUGUCUCAU